Molecule: ribosomal RNA, 298 nt
Filed under: uncultured Pseudomonas sp.
Lineage: Bacteria; Pseudomonadati; Pseudomonadota; Gammaproteobacteria; Pseudomonadales; Pseudomonadaceae
Description: partial 16S ribosomal RNA
Rfam family: Bacterial small subunit ribosomal RNA
Source: RNAcentral
UCCGUAACGAGCGCAAACCCUUGUCCUUAGUUACCAGCACGUUAUGGUGGGCACUCUAAGGAGACUGCCGGUGACAAACCGGAGGAAGGUGGGGAUGACGUCAAGUCAUCAUGGCCCUUACGGCCUGGGCUACACACGUGCUACAAUGGUCGGUACAAAGGGUUGCCAAGCCGCGAGGUGGAGCUAAUCCCAUAAAACCGAUCGUAGUCCGGAUCGCAGUCUGCAACUCGACUGCGUGAAGUCGGAAUCGCUAGUAAUCGUGAAUCAGAAUGUCACGGUGAAUACGUUCCCGGGCCUU